AGGAUGAACGCUGGCGGCGUGCUUAACACAUGCAAGUCGAACGGUGAAGUGAGGAGCUUGCUCCUUGCGGAUCAGUGGCGAACGGGUGAGUAACACGUGAGUAACCUGCCCUUGACUCUGGGAUAAGCACUGGAAACGGUGUCUAAUACCGGAUACGACCUCCGAAGGCAUCUUCUGGAAGUGGAAAGAAUUUCGGUCAAGGAUGGACUCGCGGCCUAUCAGCUAGUUGGUGAGGUAACGGCCCACCAAGGCGACGACGGGUAGCCGGCCUGAGAGGGUGACCGGCCACACUGGGACUGAGACACGGCCCAGACUCCUACGGGAGGCAGCAGUGGGGAAUAUUGCACAAUGGGCGCAAGCCUGAUGCAGCAACGCCGCGUGAGGGACGACGGCCUUCGGGUUGUAACCUCUUUAGUAGGAAGAAGCGAAAGUGACGGUACCUGCAGAAAAGCGACCGGCUAACUACGUGCCAGCAGCCGCGGU
RNAcentral lists this ribosomal RNA (483 nucleotides) under uncultured bacterium. Its description in RNAcentral is "SSU rRNA". It matches the Rfam family "Bacterial small subunit ribosomal RNA", at positions 26 to 521 of the family's 1533-position model. The record is from RNAcentral.